Molecule: long non-coding RNA, 2161 nt
Filed under: Paramuricea clavata
Lineage: Eukaryota; Metazoa; Cnidaria; Anthozoa; Malacalcyonacea; Plexauridae
Source: RNAcentral
AAUUAUUGUAUGUUGGAAAAUGAAUGUUUCUUCGACAAUGUUCCUGGAAAAUACAAAAAAUAAGCACAAUUAUAAUAUUAUUCUGCAUAUAUAGAACAUUAACCCAUUAAGCGCCAGCGCUCUCCCAUUGACGAGUAAAAUCGUCUGUCGUUAGACAGAGUAAAAUACUAACGUAGGGUGCAUCCGGGUGCAAUGCGACUCAAUGGGUUAAACAAUGUAAAAGAGUUGUACAGUUGCACUUGCCUGAUGAAGUCAAACUGUGCAAAUCCAAUUUCCAGCAUUGUUUCAUUUAAAAAUAAAUAUUUUUUAAAUUAUAUACGACACCAUGUUGAAAAAUUGCUCGAAGUAGGAUCUAUUUUGAGUACAGUGAACAUAUUGAAGGCAACAGCAACCCUCGAAAAAUGUCCAUAGAAAUAACAGCCUUAACUUAUUCUUUCAAAUAAAUGCUGUAGGACCCAAUAACAGACUAACCCAUUGAGUGGCAACACUCUCCCGAUGACAAAUAAAAUUGUCUGGUAUUAUACAUAAUAGAAUAACAAAAUUGAGUGCAUAUUGGUGUAUUUCCACCAGGGCUCGAAUUUUAUCGCGGCAAUUGCCGUAGAGGGAGUACAAAAUGCCGUGGAUCAUUGCGGAAACGACAGCAAUUUUUUGCCGUAUAGUAUAAUUUUUAUACUAUUCACUAAAUUACUAUAUUAACAAUAAAAUUAAAUUUUUGUUACAGUAAUUUGAAAAAAUGCCGUGGAAACUGCCAAAAUUGGCGUAGACAGCUGUUACGUUCUACGGCAAUUUUUAACGCCAUUGCCGUCGAUUGAUUUCAGGGAAAUUCGAGGCCUGAUUUCCACUUGACAGGUUAAUCUUUUAAGAGGCAAUCCACCCUCAUUAGCCAUACUUUAGUAUUUUACUCUGUCUAAUGCCAGACGAUUUUGCUCUGUCUAACGCCAGAUGAUUUUACUUGUCAAGUGGAGAGUGCUGCCACUCAAUGGGUUAAUAAUACUACAUACUAGAAUUUUAUAUUUUCAAAUAUAGGCAUAGUAUGCUGGUUGUGCGGUGAACGGGGGCAUGCCAGGAUCAAGUGCCCCCAAAGGCAUGGUUCAAAAGAGGGGAAGGGACGGCCAGUUGUUUUUAACCAUUGCAGAUUUGAUAAAUUAACAAUGUAAUUUUAUAUUGUUACUAUAUCAAAUCUGCAAUUGUUAAAAUUGUUUACAGUAAUAACGGCUAAAUUUGACAGUUAAACUUAGUUUAUUUUUCAGUUAAAUUUAUUAAAUUGAUAUAUUAGGGCUGUUUAUAUGGAAAAGCUAGCCCAUGCAGCCAUCUCACCAGGUCGAUUACUUUCUUCUCUGUUUUGCCUUCAAGAUUUUCUCAAAAAAGUUGAUAAAAAUAUUUGGUUCAGAUUAAGUGUAAACUGGUCUUUUAGUUAAUCAAGAUUUUCCUUUCGGCUUUGGGUCAAAGGAUAUAUUUUCUUGACAUAAAUUAGCAGAUAGCCCGCUUCAUACAACCAGCCCCCUUGAUAGUUUGUGUUGUUAUUACUUUAUACAUGAAACUGCACUAUCAUGAUCAUACUAUCAUGACCAUGACCCAUGUUCUAUAUAAUAAUAGCUCUAUAAAUAUACUUUAUUCGUUCAUUAUAAAAUAAAAAUUACAAAUGUGUAAAAGGUACUGUACCUGGUGGUUUGUCUUCACAACGCUAUAUACCAAUGAUAGCUGUACAAGUAUAUUCCAUCCUCUGUUUCUUUACAAUUUUCCAAUAAAGUGUUUGUCAUACAAGUUCAAGUCAGUAAUAUUAACAAUGUCACAGGCAAUUUCAUGCUGGCUUACAGUAACUGCCAUAACCCCGUGGUUACAAAUACCGUCGCUUGCAACUAAGGGUGAACAGUUGCAGAUAAUACAUUGUCUAUUCUCAUCACAAAGUUCGAUGUUUUUACUGAAAAAGUUCAAAGUUUGUGAUGAUCAUUUCAUGGUUUCAAAGCCAACCAAGCUUGUAGCUACUUGAACGUUAUAUUGGCUGAUCAGAUUAAAACAUGUCAACUAAGUGUUGUUGCUCAUGACAAACAUUGAAGAUUCUCACGCAAAUAUAUGUAAUGUUUUUAUGAGCAACCGUUCAUCGUUAGUUGCAAGCGACGGUACAACAUUGAUACCAUCAACAUUUUUCCGACUGUGUCCG